UGUUUGAGGCGCUGAGGCGAGUCUACAGAUUUUUCGUCUUUCAUGGCAGUUCUCGUGGAUUUUAUUCGUUUACAAACAACAUCUUUCAACUAGUAAGCUAUCCGAAUGGCUGUAGUGUCUUUAGGCAUGAUAUUUAACCGUGGGUGGCCGUCAACUGGUGAGAUUCGUUGGCAAUUUACAUGUAAGACACCAAAUCAAAGUCUAGCUUGAAACGAAUAAAUAUGGAUACAUGUAGUGUACAAAAAGCUCAAUCCAGUCGCUCAAUCAGCUGAAACUAAUGUAGUCUUUCUUGUUGCACAGUUGGCUCCAUCGCCGAAACUAAAGCCCAGAUCUUUCAAUCGGCUUAGCGACCACCAAGUUUUCCUUUCUUCCUCAUCACUCAACACCUCUCUCAUAUUUAAGUAAGCAUAUUGUUGUUGUUGUUUUUUUUAUAAGCAUUGUAACCUUUGAAAAUGUUUCCAGAUUACAGGAGAUUUUUGGCAUGAUGCUAAUAAUAAUUCUUAACAGACAUCAACUGGCUAUGUGAAUUGCAGUGUGCAAAUUUAUGUUUUGAAAUUUUAAAGAAAAGGUUCACAAGCUUGAGGCUACACAGGUCUAGUCAUUUAUAACACAGCCCAAUUCUGUUGUGUAUCAGUUUGAUCAAUCAGUCUUUACAGCUAGUUUUAGAGCAAACGCAUGGAAACCGUGAAAUAAAACGAAACUAAAUAAUAACAAAUAGCUGCUAUUUAGAGACAAAUUGUCAGUGUCAAUGAACCAGAAUGCAAUCAAGUUGAAUAGCUGAUUUACAAAUUUUGCUUCAGUAGUCAAACACAAAAGAAUCAAGACGAGGCACUGUGCGUAAAUCUCAGUCAGUUGCGAAAACUAUUGUCUUUUCACAAAUGACUGAGCUUAAUGCAUGGCGCCUCGUAUUCAUUCCUUUGUGUGCGAUGUUUGAUGCAAAACUUGCAAGUCGGCUAUUAAAAAUGGUCCCAUGUGGAUUCCUUUUCAUUAAGUUCUGGUUCAUUGGAACUGACAAAUUGUCUCUAAAUACCUGCUAUUUGUUAGUAUUUUGGUCUGCAUUUCCUCUAUACUAUAUCUUUUUUUAAACAAAUGUCACAUAUAACUUUCAUUUAUGACUCACUGCUCAUUGAAGGAGUAUAUUACAGAGCUUUGAUGAUAAAACCAAUCAAAACUAUAUAUAUUACUGUUAAUUGAUCUGUUGUUACAACCAAGCCUUGAGAUGUUGGCCAGGGAAAUGCUGGGAUUGAAGUCAUGUUCACCACUUAACAUUACAAGGCAGUGUUGUUGACAAUUAUGACAUUCAUUGACUUUUAAUAUGAUUGAAUAAAAUAGUGCAAUUUGAUUGGCUUAGAGGAGAGGUAUUUAUACUUAAUAAUGGUAUCUCACAUUGCUCAAUUUUGUUCAACCAUUAUA
Molecule: long non-coding RNA, 1413 nt
Organism: Exaiptasia diaphana
Lineage: Eukaryota; Metazoa; Cnidaria; Anthozoa; Actiniaria; Aiptasiidae
Exons: 3
Source: RefSeq, a predicted model, not a curated record